UCUAGUAUAAGCAAUUAUACAGCGAAACUGCGAAUGGCUCAUUAUAUAAGUUAUCGUUUAUUUGAUAGUGCCUUACUACUUGGAUAACCGUGGUAAUUCUAGAGCUAAUACAUGCUGAAAGCCCCGACUCACGGAGGGGCGUAUUUAUUAGAUUAAAAACCAAUGCCCUUCGGGGCUCCUUGGUGAUUCAUGAUAACUUCUCGAAUCGCACGGCCUUGCGCCGGCGAUGGUUCAUUCAAAUUUCUUCCCUAUCAACUUUCGAUGUUUGGGUAGUGGCCAAACAUGGUGGCAACGGGUAACGGAGGGUUAGGGCUCGACCCCGGAGAAGGAGCCUGAGAAACGGCUCCUACAUCCAAGGAAGGCAGCAGGCGCGCAAAUUACCCAAUCCCGACUCGGGGAGGUAGUGACAAUAAAUACUGAUGCAGGGCUCUUUAGGGUCUUGCAAUUGGAAUGAGUACAAUUUAAAUCCCUUAACGAGGAACAAUUGGAGGGCAAGUCUGGUGCCAGCAGCCGCGGUAACUCCAGCUCCAAUAGCGUAUAUUAAAGUUGUUGUGGUUAAAAAGCUCGUAGUUGAACCUUGGGCCUGGCCGUCCGGUCCGCCUCACCGCGUGCACUGGCACGGCCGGGCCUUCCCACCGCGGAAUCGCAUGCCCUUUACUGGGCGUGUCGGGGAAGCGGUACUUUUACUGUGAAAAAAUUAGAGUGCUCUAAGCAGGCCUAUGCUCGAAUACAUUAGCAUGGAAUAAUAGAAUAGGACAGGCGUUCUAUUUUGUUGGUUUCUAGGACGUCUGUAAUGAUUAACAGAAACAAUCGGGGGCGUCAGUAUUGCAUCGUCAGAGGUGAAAUUCUUAGAUCGACGCAAGACUAACUACUGCGAAAGCAUUCGCCAAGGGUGUUUUCAUUAAUCAGGAACGAAAGUUAGGGGAUCGAAGACGAUCAGAUACCGUCGUAGUCUUAACCAUAAACUAUGCCGACUAGGGAUCGGGCGGUGUUAAUUUUUGACCCGCUCGGCACCUUACGAGAAAUCUUAAGUGCUGGGCUCCAGGGGAG
This 1050-nucleotide ribosomal RNA is filed under the name Microthecium ciliatum. RNAcentral's name for it is "SSU rRNA". It matches the Rfam family "Eukaryotic small subunit ribosomal RNA", at positions 59 to 1123 of the family's 1831-position model. Lineage: Eukaryota; Fungi; Ascomycota; Sordariomycetes; Coronophorales; Ceratostomataceae. The record is from RNAcentral.